UUUCUUUCUCCUUCUCUAUUCUCUUUUUCAUCAUCUUUUCUUUCUUUCCUAUGUUUCUUACAUGAGAAUGAGAAUCAUAAAUUCAUGAAUGGAUCGGUAGAUUGUGGUUGAUGGGAAUGUUGUUUGGCUCGAGGUAACUAUAACUCAAUUUCUUCGUCUUUGAACUAAACAUAGUUUCAAAGGUUUGAUUUUGAAUGAUAUAUAUCUAUUUAUCUAUUUAUCUCGGACCAGGCUUCAUUCCCGUCAACUUGAUCUUCUUUUAUCUCUUUAAAUCUAACGGUUCUUACAACUGCUGCACCAUAUUCUGAAAUUAGUUAUUUCUUUUGAUCUUAGGAACAAGGUGGCGGCUGCAAAUUGCAGUUCUUUUUUGCUUUCUUCUUGUCUCUUUUUCUUUAUUUGUCUCAGAGAUUGAUAUUGAUCACUCUGAGUAAAGUGUAGUAUAUGGAUCUAAUCUCUAAAACUAUAGCACAUUUUAUAUUUUUCUAUCAAUUCAAUUUUUAUUUAUACUAGAGUAUUCACCACUAUAUAUUUUGUCUUUGUUUGGUUGCAAUGGCAUUACAAUUCUAAGUCCUAAAACAUGACCAAAA
Long non-coding RNA from Cicer arietinum (chickpea), 587 nucleotides. RefSeq lists it as uncharacterized. NCBI's taxonomy places the organism in Eukaryota, Viridiplantae, Streptophyta, Magnoliopsida, Fabales, Fabaceae. The record is from RefSeq and is a predicted model, not a curated record.